RNAcentral lists this ribosomal RNA (486 nucleotides) under uncultured bacterium. RNAcentral's name for it is "partial 16S ribosomal RNA". It matches the Rfam family "Bacterial small subunit ribosomal RNA", at positions 29 to 507 of the family's 1533-position model. The record is from RNAcentral.
AUGAACGCUCGCGCUAGGCUUAACACAUGCAAGUCGAGGGGCAGCACAAGGUAGCUUGCUAUCUGGGUGGCGACCGGCGCACGGGUGCGUAACGCGUAUGCAACUUGCCCUAUACAGGAGGAUAACCCGUCGAAAGACGGACUAAUACUGCGUAUGCUCACAACUUGGCAUCAAGUGGUGAGGAAAGAAAUUCGGUAUAGGAUAGGCAUGCGUCCCAUUAGCUUGUUGGUGAGGUAACGGCUCACCAAGGCAACGAUGGGUAGGGGAACUGAGAAGUUUAUCCCCCACACUGGUACUGAGACACGGACCAGACUCCUACGGGAGGCAGCAGUGAGGAAUAUUGGUCAAUGGGCGCGAGCCUGAACCAGCCAAGUCGCGUGAAGGAUGACUGUCUUAUGGAUUGUAAACUUCUUUUAUACGGGAAUAACAAGAGUCACGUGUGACUCCCUGCAUGUACCGUAUGAAUAAGCAGCGGCUAACUCCGUG